Long non-coding RNA from Xenopus laevis (African clawed frog), 812 nucleotides. RefSeq lists it as uncharacterized. The transcript has 2 exons. NCBI's taxonomy places the organism in Eukaryota, Metazoa, Chordata, Amphibia, Anura, Pipidae. The record is from RefSeq and is a predicted model, not a curated record.
GACUGUGUGAAGAUUACAAAAUGGUGGAAAUUACACCUUAAGAACGAGUUCUGGCAGGACUACAGAUACAUCAAGGCCCACCUGAAACGCCUCUACAAAGACCUAGAGAAGAUCAACAAGGCCAUACCGAUUAAGAACAACGAGAGAUAUUCAGAUGGUCCUCGGAACAACUCACAAACGGCACAUGAUACCAGCACCACCAGCAGUUUCCUCGGUACCAAAUACCGAUGCACCUCAGUCUAGACACCACAUCCUCAGGAAACAGCAGUAAGUAUGGGGCAUCUCAAUUCCACCAGUGAUGCCCCCCUUUCAUCCACAGCACUUUCACCAGCGGUGACUUCAGCCACCGUAGUUCCACCAGUGGUUCCUCCCCUUUAUCCAAAAUAUGGUGUUAUACACAGGAACUCCUUAAAGCUACUGUAGACCCUGCAUUCCUUUUCAUUCCAUCCCUCACACUGCAAAUUCCGGGGUCUGCAGGCUGCCCAGGGUCCAAUGGAAUGGAAAGGAAUGCAGCAUUCAUCGUGCAGUUUAAAUGUGCCCAUGUUUAUGCUGCCAUAUUCCCAUCUCUUUCUCAUCCUUUCACCGCAGUCCCUUACCUUACCAUAUUUUUUUUUUCCCCCUCCGCUUCCCUUGAUUCAAUGUGGCGCGUUGAUCGUGGGAGCAAAUCCGAUCGCCUUUAAGGGGUCAGGAAGGAAUUUUUCCCUCUAGUGAAGGAAAUUCGCUUUUCAGAGGUUUUUUGCUUUCCUUGCGAUCAAAAAGCGCAAUUUAUCUAAUUAUUAAUAAAGCUGUGGAUUACACAGAUUAACCACAAA